RNAcentral lists this ribosomal RNA (847 nucleotides) under uncultured Terriglobales bacterium. RNAcentral's name for it is "bacterial SSU rRNA". It matches the Rfam family "Bacterial small subunit ribosomal RNA", at positions 58 to 936 of the family's 1533-position model. Lineage: Bacteria; Pseudomonadati; Acidobacteriota; Terriglobia; Terriglobales. The record is from RNAcentral.
CAAGUCGCACGAGAAAGGGUAGCAAUACCUGAGUAAAGUGGCGCACGGGUGAGUAACACGUGAAUGAUCUACCUCCGAGUGGGGAAUAACUGAGAGAAAUCUUAGCUAAUACCGCAUAACACUUACGAGUCAAAGCAGCAAUGCGCUUGGAGAGGAGUUCGCGGCCGAUUAGUUAGUUGGCGGGGUAAUGGCCCACCAAGACGAUGAUCGGUAUCCGGCCUGAGAGGGCGCACGGACACACUGGAACUGAAACACGGUCCAGACUCCUACGGGAGGCAGCAGUGGGGAAUUUUGCGCAAUGGGGGAAACCCUGACGCAGCAACGCCGCGUGGAGGAUGAAAUCCCUUGGGAUGUAAACUCCUUUCGAUAGGGAAGAUUAUGACGGUACCUAUAGAAGAAGCCCCGGCUAACUUCGUGCCAGCAGCCGCGGUAAUACGAGGGGGGCAAGCGUUGUUCGGAUUUAUUGGGCGUAAAGGGUGCGUAGGCGGUUUGGCAAGUCUUGUGUGAAAUCUUUGGGCUCAACCCAAAGCCUGCACAAGAAACUGCCGGGCUUGAGUAUGGGAGAGGUGAGUGGAAUUUCCGGUGUAGCGGUGAAAUGCGUAGAUAUCGGAAGGAACACCUGUGGCGAAAGCGGCUCACUGGACCAUUACUGACGCUGAGGCACGAAAGCUAGGGGAGCAAACAGGAUUAGAUACCCUGGUAGUCCUAGCCCUAAACGAUGAUUGCUUGGUGUGGCAGGUACCCAAUCCUGCCGUGCCGAAGCUAACGCGAUAAGCAAUCCGCCUGGGGAGUACGGUCGCAAGGCUGAAACUCAAAGGAAUUGACGGGGGCCCGCACAAGCGGUGGA